GACGAACGCUGGCGGCGUGCUUAACACAUGCAAGUCGAACGGAAAGGCCCUGCUUUUGUGGGGUGCUCGAGUGGCGAACGGGUGAGUAACACGUGAGUAACCUGCCCUUGACUUUGGGAUAACUUCAGGAAACUGGGGCUAAUACCGGAUAGGAGCUCCUGCUGCAUGGUGGGGGUUGGAAAGUUUCGGCGGUUGGGGAUGGACUCGCGGCUUAUCAGCUUGUUGGUGGGGUAGUGGCUUACCAAGGCUUUGACGGGUAGCCGGCCUGAGAGGGUGACCGGCCACAUUGGGACUGAAAUACGGCCCAGACUACUCCGGGAGGCAGCAGUGGGGAAUAGUGCACAAUGGGCGGAAGCCUGAUGCAGCAACGCCGCGUGCGGGAUGACGGCCUUCGGGUUGUAAACCGCUUUCGCCUGUGACGAAGCGUGAGUGACGGUAAUGGGUAAAGAAGCACCGGCUAACUACGUG
RNAcentral lists this ribosomal RNA (468 nucleotides) under uncultured bacterium. Its description in RNAcentral is "partial 16S ribosomal RNA". It matches the Rfam family "Bacterial small subunit ribosomal RNA", at positions 28 to 507 of the family's 1533-position model. The record is from RNAcentral.